CUUCAUUCUCACACUCUCACAACUGGGCUAUUUCGACUAAUAUGUCAACGGAACUUCAGCAUCGAUGCAUGAAAUAUAAGGGUUUGACAUUAGAACACCGUUUGAGAUCCGAGAGGACCGUACCAUUUGGACAAAUGGCAGCGUAGGACAUCCGCAGCUCUUCUGUGUCUCCAAUGACCUCCAAUUCAAUCUCUGAUCGUAAUUCCUGCAAAAACCAACAAGAGCAGAAUGUCUUUCUCCAAGAAUGAAAUCAUCACACUCAACUCAGUCAUCAUUAAGCGGACUUUCCAGGUUUUUUUCAAGUCGAUUUCACUUUGCAGUGACCUGUAACGUGCGAAGCCUUCUGUCUUUAUCUACCUUAAUGGAUGAGUCAUCAUCCCAGGUGUACUGGGCUGUAAAAAAUAACCUGAGGAAAGACUGAUGGCUCACCUCAGCAUGAAGGAAAGACGCAGUUUGACAAAUGAACUGUCUGGGUGCUUAGAAGCUCUCUAGGGCAAGUGACUAUUAAUGGUAAUUAAAAAAAAAAAAAACUUAACCUCAUAAAGACCUGGCGUUCCAUACUUGGAUAUCACGUUUUAAGUUAUGUACAGUGUUAUGAUAUAUGAAUGUGGUGAUUCGAUAUGCUUUCACCAGGUAUCAAUACAUCUCUUUGUGUCACUGCUUAAAAAAAACAAUAGGUUGUCACCAAAAUGUUCCACUAUAAAAGUGUCUAUGUUAAGAAAGACACUAAUUUGUUUACAACAAUGUUGCAGUAACAUAUUGUUGCUGUAUUCAUUUACAGAAAUGUGUCAUUGAAAUAUUCUCAUAGUCUGUGAGGGAGACUAUAGGUAAUUGUUUUUCUCUUUAAUAAUUGUGCAAUAUUGAAUACAGUGAUUUCUUGACUCAUUAAGUAAUAAUUGUUGUAUCACUAUAUUGUUAGAUAAUCAUUAUCGUGACCUUUCUAUUGAUAGUCGUGCGGUAUAGUAUCGCGAAGUACAGAGGUUCCAACCCUAAUAAUCUAGGCCACAACAUUAGCAACUGGUGUACAGAAACUGCCUACAUCACUUAAAAUGUGAUUACGAGUGCUUAUGUGAUUAUGAGCCACAAUAAAACUAUAAGGAGUAUUUA
This is a long non-coding RNA of Corythoichthys intestinalis (scribbled pipefish), 1107 nucleotides long. RefSeq lists it as uncharacterized. NCBI's taxonomy places the organism in Eukaryota, Metazoa, Chordata, Actinopteri, Syngnathiformes, Syngnathidae. The transcript has 2 exons. The record is from RefSeq and is a predicted model, not a curated record.